GCCGAAGUGGUGGAAUUGGUAGACACGCACGACUCAAAAUCGUGUGGGCUAGCCCCAUGAGGGUUCGACUCCCUCCUUCGGCACCA
This 86-nucleotide transfer RNA is filed under the name Bacillota bacterium. Its description in RNAcentral is "Firmicutes bacterium (anaerobic digester metagenome) tRNA-Leu". It matches the Rfam family "tRNA". From Rfam's summary of the family: Transfer RNA (tRNA) molecules are approximately 80 nucleotides in length. Their secondary structure includes four short double-helical elements and three loops (D, anti-codon, and T loops). The record is from RNAcentral. Lineage: Bacteria; Bacillati; Bacillota.